UCCGUAGGUGAACCUGCGGAAGGAUCAUUACGUUCAGUAGCCUAGCUACUGUCAGUGGGGCUCGUUAGUCUGCAUAGCUUAAACGCUGAUGAGCAGCAGGCCCCCUGUCUUCACCCUUGUUUUUUGCGUACCCAUGUUUCCUCGGCGGGCUUGCCCGCCGGCUGGACAAAACUAUAACCUAUUUAAUUUUCAAUCAGCGUCUGAAAUAAUUUUAAUAAUUACAACUUUCAACAACGGAUCUCUUGGUUCUGGCAUCGGUGAAGAACGCAGCGAAAUGCGAUAAGUAGUGUGAAUUGCAGAAUUCAGUGAAUCAUCGAAUCUUUGAACGCACAUUGCGCCCCUUGGUAUUCCAUGGGGCAUGCCUGUUCGAGCGUCAUUUGUACCCUCAAGCUUUGCUUGGUGUUGGGUGUUUGUCUCUUCCCUUGUGGGGAGACUCGCCUUAAAGUAAUUGGCAGCCAGUGUUUUGGUAGUAAGCGCAGCACAUUUUGCGUCUUGGUCCCUAAAAUAGUGGCAACCAUAAGCUCUUUUUCACGUUUGACCUCGGAUCAGGUAGGGAUACCCGCUGAACUUAAGCAUAUCAAUAAGCGGAGGA
Molecule: ribosomal RNA, 592 nt
Filed under: uncultured Phaeosphaeria
Lineage: Eukaryota; Fungi; Ascomycota; Dothideomycetes; Pleosporales; Phaeosphaeriaceae
Description: eukaryotic LSU rRNA
Rfam family: 5.8S ribosomal RNA (bases 223-376)
Source: RNAcentral